RNAcentral lists this ribosomal RNA (253 nucleotides) under uncultured bacterium. Its description in RNAcentral is "partial 16S ribosomal RNA". It matches the Rfam family "Bacterial small subunit ribosomal RNA", at positions 524 to 776 of the family's 1533-position model. The record is from RNAcentral.
UACGUAGGGUGCAAGCGUUGUCCGGAAUUAUUGGGCGUAAAGAGCGUGUAGGCGGCCCGAUUAGUCCGCUGUGAAAGUCCAGGGCUCAACCCUGGAAUGCCGGUGGAUACUGUCGGGCUAGAGUCCGGAAGGGGCGAGUGGAAUUCCUGGUGUAGCGGUGAAAUGCGCAGAUAUCAGGAGGAACACCAAUGGCGAAGGCGGGUCUCUGGACAGUUCCUGACACUGAGACACGAAGGCCAGGGGAGCAAACGGG